AUACGUAGGGGGCGAGCGUUGUCCGGAAUGAUUGGGCGUAAAGGGCGCGUAGGCGGCCCGGUAAGUCUGGAGUGAAAGUCCUGUUUUUAAGAUGGGAAUUGCUUUGGAUACUGUCGGGCUUGAGUGCAGGAGAGGUAAGUGGAAUUCCCAGUGUAGCGGUGAAAUGCGUAGAGAUUGGGAGGAACACCAGUGGCGAAGGCGACUUACUGGACUGUGUCGGACGCUCAGAUGCGAAAGCCAGGGUAGCGAACGGGAUUAGAUACCCCGGUAGUCCUGGCCGUAAACGAUGGGUACUAGGUGUGGGAGGUAUCGACUCCUUCCGUGCCGGAGUUAACGCAAUAAGUACCCCGCCUGGGGAGUACGGCCGCAAGGCUUAAACUCAAAUGAAUUGACGGGG
This 397-nucleotide ribosomal RNA is filed under the name uncultured bacterium. RNAcentral's name for it is "partial 16S ribosomal RNA". It matches the Rfam family "Bacterial small subunit ribosomal RNA", at positions 523 to 918 of the family's 1533-position model. The record is from RNAcentral.